AGUUUUGUGAUUAUCGCCUCCGUCGAUAAUGCGGAUCCCGUCGUAGCCAAGCUGACUGCGAUCACGAACGUGUAGCUUGGCGGGAAGAGGUCCUCCGCUACUUAUCGCUGGUUCCCAAAGCAACACUUGUUAGAACGAGACAGCUCAUCCGAUAUAGCCUAAUGCGAUUAGUACGACAAGGCUGUUCGAUAUGUUUUAAAAGACCGCCAACUUUAUUGUUACCUACUGUUCAUAUAAACGAGAGGCUCAUUUUGUAUACUGAUAGUGGAAAUAUCAGAAUGGCAUCAUCUACACAGAACGAAAGUUUUCUUGCAACAAGAACCUUAUUAUUUACAUCACGUACAUCAGGAAUACAGGCUCCGAGGCAACAGUUUAACGUCGGUCCCAGACGUUCGGUGCUACAAUCAAAUUCGGGAGAUUCUGAUACUGAUUGGAGUAUAGCAAGCUCAGAGCUGCUUUCACAAACAUGGACUAUCUGGGGAGUAUCUCCUCUAUUUGGAUUUGAUAAAGAUAAUGAAAUAAAACUGAAAUUAUAUGCUAAAAAACUGAGGGAGGAAAUCGCCAAUAACUUAACACAAGAAAAUGUUACGUACGAGGCAAAAUUUACGAUCAUACCAAAUUUUUCACCUAAUGUUAUAAAUCCAUUUGCACUAAAGGUGGAGGUAAAUGCAAAAUCUGUAGAAAAUCCAGAUGUAGAAAAAUCAAUCUAUAAAGGAAUAUUUAUGUCCUGGAUAUCUGGAUUUGAUGAAACAAAUAUCAGAAAUUCAGUUACAUUACCAUUAUUACUCUGUCGAGGAACACAAAGUGGUACAAGAGCUGUACAUAUAAUAAUAGGUCAUAUGUUUGACUGUAUGAUAGUUGCAUUAGAUGCCAGUCAGGAUGAUUUACUAUGGUUGUUGCCAAUCAUACUAACACCUGCGAGUGAUGAAGAGGAAACUAGUAAAUCAAGCGAGGUCUCAUUAGAGUAUAGAAUACCAGGAUUGCCACUCACCGAUACUAUAAAUGUUAAAUUUCUACUUUCUACUUUAGUAACAAUAUGGAAAUCGGUUUAUGAAAAACGUAUUAAUGAAUUAGAAAUUGAAGCUGAUUUAAUAGUUUACACAGAAGAUGUAGACAAAUUUCACAAGAUAUUACAUUCGCAUAUGUUAAGCGUCGCUGGUUUGCAGCUGGGACUCUGUUCAUUACAUAAAAUUAGUAUGAAAUCCUUAACCAUAACAGAUAACAGGAUGAAAAUAAUGAGCAGCGAGACAAUGAACAGAGUAUUAUCAUUCUUGCAAGAAUCAGCAUUAGAGCAUCUUUACCCUCUACAUCUUAAUACUCCUUCGAGAUCAACCAACAGUAUAGCUGAAUGAUAAAGCAAUGCAUUUUCAUUCCCAUAAAUGGCAGUUACGUUAUGUUAGAACGUGGACAAAGAGGUUUCUCAUCGAAUGGCGGAGGUACUAGAACUCCAAGAACUUCAGGAAGCAUAAAUGGUUUCAACCAAGUAACAAGUGGUGUUCGUCCCUUAGUGUAAUGUCCUUCUCGAUGAUAAAAUAAAAGUCCAUCCAAUGGAGGUAAUGUAGAUAAA
Molecule: RNA transcript, 1567 nt
Organism: Cephus cinctus (wheat stem sawfly)
Lineage: Eukaryota; Metazoa; Arthropoda; Insecta; Hymenoptera; Cephidae
Gene name: centromere protein L
Exons: 8
Source: RefSeq, a predicted model, not a curated record